Molecule: transfer RNA, 68 nt
Filed under: Bos taurus (domestic cattle)
Lineage: Eukaryota; Metazoa; Chordata; Mammalia; Artiodactyla; Bovidae
Also listed under: 2 other names
Rfam family: tRNA
About the family: Transfer RNA (tRNA) molecules are approximately 80 nucleotides in length.
Source: Rfam by way of RNAcentral
GCAUGGGUGGUUCAGUAGUAGAAUUCUUGCCUGCCAGGCAGGAGGCACGGGUUUUCCCGGGCCAUGCA